This 431-nucleotide unclassified non-coding RNA is filed under the name Hevea brasiliensis (rubber tree). Lineage: Eukaryota; Viridiplantae; Streptophyta; Magnoliopsida; Malpighiales; Euphorbiaceae. The record is from RNAcentral.
GUUCUAUCGUGUCACCAGAAGAUGUAGAAUCAGUCAUGUCCUCUUCUUCGCUGUAAAUUCUUGCAGGAGCUGAACUUCUCAAUGAUCUGCUGCAAGGUCAGUUAAAUCUUGCCUCAGAUUUCCAUUUUGCAUUCAUGAGAUAAGUUGAUUGCAAACAUGAUACUAAUCUUUCCUCCAGAUUACUUUGGCAAAGAACUAUUAUCUGUUGAAGCUGUUCCGGUGUACUGAGAUCACAUUCUUCUUCUGAAUUGGUAUUUGAAUUUUUCCAGAGAUUCUUAUAUGGUGUUUCGGAAUGGAUAGAUGUCUGUUUAACUUACUAUUGAAAGGGAAAACAAUUUCCAGAUAUAAGAGAAACAAGUUAUGAGCCUUUGUGUUGUAAAACUCCAGCUUUUUUCUAUUUUAUUCUUUCUCAAUGAUGGUGUCCCUCUUUG